Molecule: long non-coding RNA, 508 nt
Organism: Eucalyptus grandis
Lineage: Eukaryota; Viridiplantae; Streptophyta; Magnoliopsida; Myrtales; Myrtaceae
Exons: 2
Source: RefSeq, a predicted model, not a curated record
UGAUUGGGUGCUUUUUCUUGUAUUUCUUAUAAAUUGAUUUGAUUUAUCUACUUGCUUAUAUAUUCAGGAUCCUUAAAGUUUCCACUGAAGAACUAUGCCAUCGUUUUGAUGAAGAGAUACCUGAAAGUGCUAGGCAACCUUCAGUCUACCCUAGGAAUUUUGUAGAGUUUUGCUCAUACAAGGCAAUGGAUGCAGCAACAAAAGGUGACUCCUGAUGUGCAUUUCCAAAAUGAUUUGGGUCUAGAUAGCUUGGACAACGUAGAGAUUGUAAUGGCACUGGAAGAAGAAUUUAAGCUUGAAAUCCCAGAUUUGGAAGCUGAUAAAAUUGACUCCCGUUGUCUUGCUAUUGAGUACAUCUACAACCAUCGUAUGGCUGGUUAAUUCGAGCUCAUGCAUCUUUUGACUAUCCUGUAUUGUGUGGACAAUGAGCUGCUCAGCCUCCUCUUUGGUUGCUUUGUCUUGAGCGUGAAGCAGAGGAUGGAAAAUAAUCUCAAGUUUUGUGAUAAAA